Cyclopterus lumpus (lumpfish) is the source of this 482-nucleotide long non-coding RNA. RefSeq lists it as uncharacterized. The transcript has 2 exons. The record is from RefSeq and is a predicted model, not a curated record. NCBI's taxonomy places the organism in Eukaryota, Metazoa, Chordata, Actinopteri, Perciformes, Cyclopteridae.
UUAUUUCUCUUCAAUCUCUCCUCUUUGUCAUUCUCAAAUGCUCCUCCAGGUGCUGAGGACGAUUGGCCGCUUGGGAAUACACCUCAGAACUGGUUCUAGCUUGCGUCGUAAGCCGCUCGUGGGCCUGGUGUGGUUACGGGUUUUAAAGAUCACCACCUUUUGCUCACGUGAGGGAUUACCGACUUCCAUGUUUGUUCUGUUCGUUGGCGGUGCCAAAACAAAGACGAAUAAAUGACAUGCCCCCAAGAUAACUUUAGAGUGUGAUGUGUGCCUAAACCUAACAAAGUAGUUUCAUCCACUAGUUUUGGUGCUAAUGUAAGAGUGAAACUGUAUGAUGUAAAUAUAAUUACAUGUAUUAGUUAUGACCACUAGUCGACGCUGUUCAGGGCGUCUGGGGGGUGUGAGGAAAGAAAGGGGAGAAGAAGGGAACUUGGCGGUUCAGUUGGAUUGUGGAGUUGGACUAAAGUUAUGAGUAAAACCCA